AGUCUCUACCUCUCUUCCGUCAUCACUCUUCCGCCUCGGCAGUCGGCGCCUCCAGCCUCCACUCUCCCUUUUUCUUGCAUUCAGCUCUCCUGUCCGACUGGGAUACAAAGGUAAGUAAUCUAUCUCACUUUGAUCUAUGUAAUCUUGUAUUUGAUUAUGGUGAUUUGUGACUUGUGAGUUUAUGCUACUGGCAUUAGAUAAGCAAAUUGGGAAUUUGGGAUUGCAAAACCCAUUAGCUUUUUCUCCAUUGAUAU
This 254-nucleotide long non-coding RNA is filed under the name Panax ginseng (ginseng). RNAcentral describes it as "long non-coding RNA (PGIN_LNC011663)". Lineage: Eukaryota; Viridiplantae; Streptophyta; Magnoliopsida; Apiales; Araliaceae. The record is from RNAcentral.